RNAcentral lists this ribosomal RNA (445 nucleotides) under uncultured organism. Its description in RNAcentral is "partial 16S ribosomal RNA". It matches the Rfam family "Bacterial small subunit ribosomal RNA", at positions 335 to 797 of the family's 1533-position model. The record is from RNAcentral.
ACUCCUACGGGAGGCAGCAGUGGGGAAUAUUGGACAAUGGGCGCAAGCCUGAUCCAGCCAUGCCGCGUGAGUGAUGAAGGCCCUAGGGUUGUAAAGCUCUUUCACCGGUGAAGAUAAUGACGGUAACCGGAGAAGAAGCCCCGGCUAACUUCGUGCCAGCAGCCGCGGUAAUACGAAGGGGGCUAGCGUUGUUCGGCUUUACUGGGCGUAAAGCGCACGUAGGCGGACUAUUAAGUCAGGGGUGAAAUCCCGGGGCUCAACCCCGGAACUGCCUUUGAUACUGGUAGUCUUGAGUUCGAGAGAGGUGAGUGGAAUUCCGAGUGUAGAGGUGAAAUUCGUAGAUAUUCGGAGGAACACCAGUGGCGAAGGCGGCUCACUGGCUCGAUACUGACGCUGAGGUGCGAAAGCGUGGGGAGCAAACAGGAUUAGAUACCCUAGUAGUCCC